CCUACGUGGGACAGCAGUGAGGAAUAUUGGUCAAUGGCCGGAAGCCUGAACCAGCCACGCCGCGUGAGGGACGAAGUUUCCAAGCAUUGUAAACUUCUUUAGUCAAGAGACAAAAUCAGGCUCGAGAGCCUGACCGAGGGUACUUUAAGAAGAAGCAUCGGCUAACUCCGUGCCAGCCGCCGCGGUAAUACGGAGGUUGCGAGCGUUAUCCGGAUUUAUUGGGUUUAAAGGGUGCGUAGGCGGACUGUGAAGUCAGCGGUAAAAGCCUGGGGCUGAACCCCGGCGAGCCGUUGAAACUGGCGGUCGUGAGAUGGCGAGAGGUAUGCGGAAUGCGCAGUGUAGCGGUGAAAUGCAUAGAUAUUGCGCAGAACUCCGAUUGCGAAGGCAGCAUACCGGCGGCGAUCUGACGCUGAGGCACGAAAGCGUGGGUAUCGAACAGGAUUAGAUACCCCAGUAGUC
Molecule: ribosomal RNA, 459 nt
Filed under: uncultured bacterium
Lineage: Bacteria
Description: partial 16S ribosomal RNA
Rfam family: Bacterial small subunit ribosomal RNA
Source: RNAcentral